This 253-nucleotide ribosomal RNA is filed under the name uncultured bacterium. RNAcentral's name for it is "partial 16S ribosomal RNA". It matches the Rfam family "Bacterial small subunit ribosomal RNA", at positions 524 to 776 of the family's 1533-position model. The record is from RNAcentral.
UACGUAGGGGGCAAGCGUUGUCCGGAAUCAUUGGGCGUAAAGCGCGUGUAGGCGGACUGGAAGGUCUGGUGUGAAAGCCCGGGGCUCAACCCCGGAGGGUCACUGGAAACCGACAGUCUUGAGUCCGGAAGAGGAGAGUGGAAUUCCUGGUGUAGCGGUGGAAUGCGCAGAUAUCGGGAGGAACACCUAUGGCGAAGGCAGCUCUCUGGUACGUGACUGACGCUGAGACGCGAAAGCGUGGGGAGCGAACAGG